CUUUAAUAACAGUCCAAAAACUCUCUUAUUUCAGUAAUAUGAUGUUUCUUUGUACAUCAAAUAACAUACUCUGAUAAUGAAUGUGUUCGGAAUACUCAAUACAUUGUCAACAUCUUGAUUCUUGAUUUCUUGAUUGCCGAAUGUGGAAUAAAUUGACCACUUCGAUGAUCCAUGAAACUGAAAAGUCUUGAAUAAGAUCAUCCGUUAAUCUUCAAUUUCUUGGAUGUCAUCAAAAAAGUUGUGCAACGGCAUAAUGUCAAUGUAUGGUAAAUCAAGAUCGAGAAUAUCUCUAGGAAUGACAUAUUCGGAGAGUGGACGUGAACUCCAACGAUUUCGUGAAGUCAAUUCUUGAUUUUGUUUUGAAUCAUCCAUCUUUGCCUUACUCGAAGUUUCAGUAUUUGUAACGAUAUACUUUAAACUUACUAUCUUGCAUCUCUUCGUUCUUGACUUUCUUGGGAUUGGCUGAAACAGAUCAUCGUUUGAAGAAUGAACAACUUUAUUUUUCUGAUUCUUGGGAGAUCUCUGAGUGGAC
RNAcentral lists this long non-coding RNA (532 nucleotides) under Olea europaea subsp. europaea. The record is from RNAcentral. Lineage: Eukaryota; Viridiplantae; Streptophyta; Magnoliopsida; Lamiales; Oleaceae.